Molecule: ribosomal RNA, 467 nt
Filed under: uncultured bacterium
Lineage: Bacteria
Description: bacterial SSU rRNA
Rfam family: Bacterial small subunit ribosomal RNA
Source: RNAcentral
AGGACGACGCUGGCGGCGUGCUUAACACAUGCAAGUCGAACGGUGAAGGGAAGCUUGCUUCCCGGAUCAGUGGCGAACGGGUGAGUAACACGUGGGCAAUCUGCCCCAGACUUUGGGAUAACUACUCGAAAGAGUAGCUAAUACCGAAUAUUCAGCCUUGCAGGCAUCUGCGAGGCUGGAAAGUUUCUCGGUCUGGGAUGAGCCCGCGGCCUAUCAGCUAGUUGGUGAGGUAAUGGCUCACCAAGGCGACGACGGGUAGCCGGCCUGAGAGGGCGACCGGCCACACUGGGACUGAGACACGGCCCAGACUCCUACGGGAGGCAGCAGUGGGGAAUAUUGCGCAAUGGGCGAAAGCCUGACGCAGCAACGCCGCGUGCGGGAUGAAGGCCUUCGGGUUGUAAACCGCUUUCAGCAGGGAAGAAGCGAAAGUGACGGUACCUGCAGAAGAAGCACCGGCUAACUACGUG